This 256-nucleotide ribosomal RNA is filed under the name uncultured bacterium. RNAcentral's name for it is "partial 16S ribosomal RNA". It matches the Rfam family "Bacterial small subunit ribosomal RNA", at positions 524 to 776 of the family's 1533-position model. The record is from RNAcentral.
GACGUAGGGGGCGAACGUUAUCCGGAAUUAUUGGGCGUAAAGGGUGCGUAGGUGGCCUGACAAGUUAUCAGUGGCAAAUCGAGGCUCAACCUCGUGGAAACUGGUAAUACUGUUCGGCUUGAGUACAGGAGAGGUUAACGGAACUCUAUGUGGAGCGGUAAAAUGCACAGAUAUAUAGAAGAACAUCAAUAAAGGCGAAGGCAGUUAACUAGUCUGUUACUGACGCUGAGGCACGAAAGCGUGGGGAGCAAAACGG